GACGAACGCUGGCGGCGUGCCUAAUACAUGCAAGUAGAACGCACAGUUUAUACCGUAGCUUGCUACACCAUAGACUGUGAGUUGCGAACGGGUGAGUAACGCGUAGGUAACCUGCCUGGUAGCGGGGGAUAACUAUUGGAAACGAUAGCUAAUACCGCAUAAUAUUAAUUAUUGCAUGAUAAUUAAUUGAAAGGUGCAAUUGCACCACUACCAGAUGGACCUGCGUUGUAUUAGCUAGUAGGUGAGGUAACGGCUCACCUAGGCGACGAUACAUAGCCGACCUGAGAGGGUGAUCGGCCACACUGGGACUGAGACACGGCCCAGACUCCUACGGGAGGCAGCAGUAGGGAAUCUUCGGCAAUGGACGAAAGUCUGACCGAGCAACGCCGCGUGAGUGAAGAAGGUUUUCGGAUCGUAAAGCUCUGUUGUAAGAGAAGAACGGGUGUGAGAGUGGAAAGUUCUCACUGUGACGGUAUCUUACCAGAAAGGGACGGCUAACUACGUG
Molecule: ribosomal RNA, 505 nt
Filed under: uncultured bacterium
Lineage: Bacteria
Description: partial 16S ribosomal RNA
Rfam family: Bacterial small subunit ribosomal RNA
Source: RNAcentral